This is a long non-coding RNA of Oncorhynchus tshawytscha (Chinook salmon), 3501 nucleotides long. Lineage: Eukaryota; Metazoa; Chordata; Actinopteri; Salmoniformes; Salmonidae. The record is from Ensembl.
GUGCUGCCACUGCGGAUGCACUGACUGGGUAUUGUACAUUUUUUCCAACAUUGUGCAAAGUCAUAUCGACAAGAAUAAUACGAUGGAAGCAAAUUUCGUUCCAGUCAUUGGCAGCAGAGAACUGGAAGGAGAGACGGCCAAAGGAAAAAUUGGCUCUGGGGGUGACCAGAGAGAUAUACCUGCUGGAGCGCAUGCUACAGUCCCCACAGAUGCUGAUGAGAGUCCAGAACUGGAAUAUGCUGACAUCAAUAUUCUAAAGAAGAUGGAGAAACACAGGGAGGUUCCAGAGGAUGUGGAGUAUGGACAGGUUGUAGUAUUGAAGGGUUCCAGACCAACCACAGAGAGAGACAGACCUGAGGGGCGGGAGGAGACUAUGUAUGCUGGAAUACAGCUUGACCAAUGAGAGAGAUUCUUGUGAAGGGUUGAUAUUUAGACAUAGUAUUAAAGCUCUAUUGCUUCUUUUGUUACUGUAACUAUUAGUAUCUAACGUUCCCAUAUUUCUGUAAAUAUUUUCAUAAAAUGUAAAUGAACAACUAAACUGUAUACACUUGCCGUAGUGUGUCCUUGUUAUUGAUUUAAUGUGUUUUUGUAACGUUUGCUUCCAACUCACACUCUCAAACACGUAGAUCCCCUGAACGCAGCUCACUCUCCAAAUCCCAAUCACCUGAAUUUUGAUCACCUGUUCACACACCUGUAUGUCAUUUACACACACUAUGUUGUUCAGUUCUUGCACCCCAUCACUAUGAGGUAUUGUUUGUUUUGUGACACACGUCUUUCAGAGUGCUGGUUUUCCCAGUGAUUUACUUCUUCCGUGUAUGAUAGUGUUUGCCUGCCUCACUAAUGACGCCUUUUUGCCUUUUUUUGCCCCGGAUUUCCUGUUAUAUACAGUGGGGAGAACAAGUAUUUGAUACACUGCCGAUUUUGCAGGUGUUCCUACUUACAAAGCAUGUAGAGGUCUGUAAUUUUUAUCAUAGGUACACUUCAACUGUGAGAGACGAAAUCUAAAAAAAAAAUCAGAAACCCACGUACUAAAAUAACAUGCAAAACAGGCAACAACAAAAAAAGCUAGAUAAACAGGUGAACUCAAAACAGGUGUCCCACCUGCUCUGAAUUACGGGUCACCACUGGCUGUUAAUAUAAUGAAGAAGUGAGACUUCGAUGAGGCUCUUCCUCUUUCCUAUGUCAGAACCGAUGAAUAGGGUAAAAAUUACACCUCUUCUUUUGCUUGUCACACAAUGGGUGAAUUCUUCUGAGUGGCAGGAACAGCUAUCUCUCAUACUAUCCUUGCAUUGGUUUUUGUUUAUGCUGUAAGACAUUGCCAGAUUAUGGAAAUGCAGCUCUGAAUAGAAAAUAGAGGACUUUGUUGAAGUACCAAAGUUAAUUUGAUAAACUGAGACCCUGCAUUGUAAAGAGACAUGGAGGCUGUUUUAGGACUGUUGGUGAUGUCAGCAGGAGUGUCUCAUGGUAAGAAACAUCUUUAUAUGUGUUGGUUUCCCUCUUCUUUUAUGCAGAAUAUAAUAUCAGUAGUCUUCUAUACAUGUAGCAGAAAUGACGGAUGGUGAUAGACAAUAUUCAGAACAAGGUAGAAGACAGUUGUCACUUUACUCAUUGUCCCAUGAUAAUGAUCACUGACUUAAUGAUCCCUAUCACGUUGAUGCUGUUGGUUUGGUUAUACUGUUAGCCGCUUGUACCCUCAUCUGUAAAAUGAUACAUGACUUGACAUGGGUUAGAACAGUGAUAGUCACUACAGUGUCUAUUUUUCUUCUUGAUCUUCAGGCUUGGAAACUUCCUGUGAUGCUAGAGAAGAUGGAUCUCAGUGUUAUGGAGCUCUGGGAGGAACUGUCUAUCUCCAGCUGACUGAUACCAUGGCAUAUAAUCACUACUCAUUUUAUAAAGGCUCAACUGGUGCUAAAACAGAGAUACUGAAAACAAAGGUCACACUGCUCCAGUGUCCAGUCCUCAGCUGUCCUCUGAGUGUCUGUCUCAUGGAGAGAUGAGGGUGUCCUGCUCCUCUGAGGGGGAUGGUUCCCAGUACAGCUGGACUCUGGAUCGACAGACGCUGAGACACACUAAGGCCUCUUCUGAUAACGAGACAAACACCAUCACUCUGAAGAAAGGCCUGUCAGGAAAUCUCACCUGUACCGUCAGAAACUACAUCAGCAGUGAUUCUAUCAGCAAGAGAAUCUCACCUUGUCCAGGAGUCAGUGUGUUUGUUUAUUUCCAACUCGCUGAAGUCUUCAUUCUUCUGACAGUCUGUCUGGGAUCAUACUGUUUCUACAAGAAGGAAACCUAUCAUCGUAAAGAAGCCACAGACAUGGUGACCACCUGUAAUGCUACUCAGAACUUAUCCCAGUGUUCUGUUGUUCUGGAUGGAACUCUGGAUGUCUAGCUAAUGACCAACGCUAGUGGACGGGAACUGCUGUUUAAAAAGAACCUCUGAACCACAGGUGGCCAGUGUGAAAAAUUCUAUGACGUACACUUUUAGAUUUCUCCAAAUGUUCAGAUUUUCACACUCAACUUCACACUUUUUAACAUAAAAACAAAAAACAAAUUAUGUUCUAAGCCCAUAACAAUUCUUAAACCACAUCAGGAGAUAACUUUUGACGUCUGCACACUUACCCCAAAAGUGUGCAGACACCUAGCAAUGUUGUUUAGUUUGCAGUGUUUCUGUAGCACAUGAGAUGGAGUUUGCAAAGGAAAUGGCUACUGGUUUGAUGCAAAUAAUCAUGAUAUCAUUCUGACAGGUAGGCAUAAGCUACUUUGGAGCUACUGUAGUCAACAUUUAAUAGAGAGUUAACAUUUAAUACAGGUUUUUGGGAAAGCCUUUCCAUCUACCAGAAGACGGUUAUGCCUAUCAUUACCAUUGCUAUAUUUUUCCUUUUCCUUAAUUGUUUGAAACCUGGACAUUUUACUUCAUAUUAUGAGGAUGACUUACCUUGAAAGUAGCCCAUCACCAAAAUCCCACCAUAGAAACGUGGAGGAUAAUGCCUUCGACAUUAUCCUCACAUCUCCAUCUGAACCGAAAAUGAUUUGCAUUGAUACCCCCCCCCCCUUUGUUUUUACACUGCUGCUACUCGCUGUUUACUAUCGAUGCAUAGUCACUUUACCCUUACCUAUAUGUACAAAUGACCUCGAUUAACCUGUACUCCUGCACAUUCACUCGGUACCGGUACCCCAAGUAUAUAGCCUCAUUAUUGUCAUUUUAUUGUGUUCAUUUUUUAAAUGAAUUGUUUAACUUUAUUUAUUUAGUAAAUAUUUUGUUAACAUUUUGUUAAAACUGCAUUCUUGGUUUAGGGCUUGUAAGUAAGCAUUUCACAGUAAAGUCUACACCUGUUGUAUUCGGCGCAUGUGAAAAACAUUACCAGAUUGAAACAAACCUUCCACAGUUUACUAGACUGUAGAAAGCAGUGACAGAAUGUGAAACUAAUAAUGAGUCUGUGGAAGGUCUAUACCAUAAGAGGGAUUUCUGUGUCAAAUGGUUGAGAAUGUGGACUUCAUUAC